This 493-nucleotide ribosomal RNA is filed under the name uncultured bacterium. RNAcentral's name for it is "partial 16S ribosomal RNA". It matches the Rfam family "Bacterial small subunit ribosomal RNA", at positions 28 to 507 of the family's 1533-position model. The record is from RNAcentral.
GAUGAACGCUGGCGGCGUGCUUAACACAUGCAAGUCGAACGAUGAAGCCCAGCUUGCUGGGUGGAUUAGUGGCGAACGGGUGAGUAACACGUGAGUAACCUGCCCUUAACUCUGGGAUAACUUCGGGAAACCGGAGCUAAUACCGGAUAACAUGUUGAACCGCAUGGUUCAACAGUGAAAGACGGUCUUGCUGUCACUUAUAGAUGGAUCCGCGCCGCAUUAGCUAGUUGGUAAGGUAACGGCUUACCAAGGCAACGAUGCGUAGCCGACCUGAGAGGGUGAUCGGCCACACUGGAACUGAGACACGGUCCAGACUCCUACGGGAGGCAGCAGUAGGGAAUCUUCCGCAAUGGGCGAAAGCCUGACGGAGCAACGCCGCGUGAGUGAAGAAGGUCUUCGGAUCGUAAAACUCUGUUAUUAGGGAAGAACAAAUGUGUAAGUAACUGUGCACGUCUUGACGGUACCUAAUCAGAAAGCCACGGCUAACUACGUG